UUCGGUCUUUGGAGCGAUAUGGAACCACCUGAUCCCAUUCCGAACUCAGAAGUGAAACAUGUCAGCGUCUACGAUACUUCUCGUAUGAGAGGGACAAUGGAUCGAGGCCGGAG
RNAcentral lists this ribosomal RNA (113 nucleotides) under Candidatus Microgenomates bacterium. Lineage: Bacteria; Candidatus Microgenomatota. The record is from RNAcentral.